This is a non-coding RNA of Triticum aestivum (bread wheat), 125 nucleotides long. Lineage: Eukaryota; Viridiplantae; Streptophyta; Magnoliopsida; Poales; Poaceae. The record is from Rfam.
UACGUACUCCCUCCGUUCGGAAUUACUUGUUACAAAAAUGAAUAAAAAUAGAUGUAUCUACAACUAAAAUACAUCUAGAUACAUUCAUUUCUUGGACGAGUAAUUUCGAAUGGAGGGAGUACAAC